CUUUACAAUCUUCUUUACCUUCUUUAUUACUUUAUAUAGUGAGCUGUAAUGACGUGCGCUGUCCUGUAUGUCUCUCUCUCUCUCGUUCUCAUUUUCUGAACAGCAGAUUUGUUGGUUAAAUGCUAAGAAUUCAGUCAAAUCCGGACGCUGUCAGUCGGCAUGGACUCUCUGCUGUCCUCCUCGUCUGGUUCUGCAGAAGAGAGGCUCUGGUGGGCCGCAGGGUCUCAGCGUUUGCUGCAGUCUCACGCGUCAGACGCGUCUCAGUUCGUGGAGUACAGGCCUCCUGCGCGUGACUCCAUCUCUGUGCCGCCGCAUGUGCUGUACAUCACCGUGGGACUGGUGCUGGUGGUUGUGGCCACAUAUGCGAUAGUGGGUCACCUGAUCCAUGACCUGAUCCAUGACCUGGCAGGUACCCGACGAGCUGUGUUCGGUGGCGUGUUGUCUUCAGUGUCGUGUUUCUGCUGCUUUCUCAUACUGGGUCUUUGGCCCUAAACCUGAAGCUGGUGAUGCUGAGCGCGGCGGUGAAGAGGAGAGGGUUCUGAUGGAGGAAGAGCGAGCCGGUCUGCUGCCGGGAUUCAUCACCACCGAACACUAUCACACAGGGUCCGGCCUUCAUUACAUCACUUCACUAUGAGUCUACACACAGUCUGUGCCAGCUGUCACCAUUCUGGCUUAAGUUUUCACUUCGUUUUUAACAUGUUUUUAACAUACCAGAUGCUCUAUUAGCUGCUGUAGAACAGUGAAGGAUAGAUAGCAGUCUUUCAGUAUGGAAAGAGGACGUGGUCAUGUGAUCGUUGUGAUGUCAUCAUUGUAACUGCUGCUUCUGUGAUGCCAUUAAAAUGAAUUCUGGCACUGUAUAUAUACAUAUAACAGAAGGCAUAAAUGAUGCAAGUGUGAUACAGAAUUAAAGUCUCUCCUCAUUAGGAACCAACAGCUUGUUGUGUCUGAUUCAUCUUCAUGAUUCUAGAUUAUUCUAAUGCCUGUCUGGGUCAAUAAGCACAGAAACAUGUGAGAUGUUCAGCUCUAAAACACCACAUGAAACGCAUGAGGCCUGUCAAGAGCCCAAAAUCAAAACAAUGAAAUAUGUCGUGCUAAACUAAAGCUUGC
Long non-coding RNA from Cyprinus carpio (common carp), 1107 nucleotides. The record is from Ensembl. Lineage: Eukaryota; Metazoa; Chordata; Actinopteri; Cypriniformes; Cyprinidae.